UACAGAGGUCUCAAGCGUUGUUCGGAUUCAUUGGGCGUAAAGGGUGCGUAGGCGGCGCGGUAAGUCGGGUGUGAAAUCUCGGAGCUUAACUCCGAAACUGCAUUCGAUACUGCCGUGCUUGAGGACUGGAGAGGAGACUGGAAUUUACGGUGUAGCGGUGAAAUGCGCAGAUAUCAGGAGGAACACCGGUGGCGAAGGCGGGUCUCUGGGCCGUAACUGACGCUGAGGAGCGAAAGCGUGGGGAGCGAACAGG
Molecule: ribosomal RNA, 253 nt
Filed under: uncultured bacterium
Lineage: Bacteria
Description: partial 16S ribosomal RNA
Rfam family: Bacterial small subunit ribosomal RNA
Source: RNAcentral